RNAcentral lists this ribosomal RNA (119 nucleotides) under Pteropus alecto (black flying fox). The record is from RNAcentral. Lineage: Eukaryota; Metazoa; Chordata; Mammalia; Chiroptera; Pteropodidae.
GUCUAUGGCCAGACCACCCUGAACUAGCCCGAUCCCGUCUGAUCUUGGAUGCUAAGCAGGAUUGGGGCUGCUUAGUACUUGGAUGGGAGACCACCUAGGAGGAUCAGAUGCUGUAGGCA